Molecule: ribosomal RNA, 305 nt
Filed under: uncultured bacterium
Lineage: Bacteria
Description: bacterial SSU rRNA
Rfam family: Bacterial small subunit ribosomal RNA
Source: RNAcentral
CUGUCCUACGGGAGGCAGCAGUGGGGGAUAUUGCACAAUGGGGGGAACCCUGAUGCAGCGACGCCGCGUGGGUGAAGAAGCGCCUCGGCGCGUAAAGCCCUGUCAGCAGGGAAGAAAAUGACGGUACCUGAAGAAGAAGCCCCGGCUAACUACGUGCCAGCAGCCGCGGUAAUACGUAGGGGGCAAGCGUUAUCCGGAUUUACUGGGUGUAAAGGGGGCGCAGACGGCGAUGCAAGCCAGGAGUGAAAGCGCGGGUCCCAACCCCGGGACUGUGCUUGGAACUGCGUGGCUGGAGUGCGGGAGGG